UUUCCCCCUACGUGGUUUAUAGCUGAGUUUGAGAAGUCUGCAAAAAGUCAGACUGCAUUUCAAUUUCCCCACUCCAACUCCAGGGCUGAAAGAGGAAAGGAACUCUCUGGCUGGAACAAGCCCUCAUCUCACCUGUCUAGUCAGUCUUCUGAGUCAAGUCUCAAGUCUUCUUUGUCUUUGCUGUUAUUCUCCCACGGGCCUACCUGCGAUGGGGCCUGAGAUGAUUAUUUUAGUCCCACAACCUGAUGACACAUUUACCUCAGGAGAUAGAGAAGCCAGGUUGGGGGCUUCUCUGAGGUCCCAGUUUCCUUGGAGGCUUGCUGAGAGAGAGCGAGAGAGCAUAAACAGGCAAAGCAGCAGAAGGAGAGGGAGAAGCAGGCUCCCCACUGAGCAUGGAGCCUGAUGUUCAGCUUGUUUCUGGGCCCUGGGAUCAUGACCUGAGCCAAAGGCAGUCACUUAACCAACUGAGCCACCCAGGUGCCGUUGUCCUUUUGUUCUUUUCAGUAUUCUAUAGUGCAAGAUUUGGUUCUGAAAAAAAAAUUGUUCUUCCUUCCUGCUUUAUAUGUAAAUAUAAAC
This 576-nucleotide long non-coding RNA is filed under the name Mustela putorius furo (domestic ferret). RNAcentral's name for it is "lncRNA (ENSMPUG00000031377.1)". The record is from RNAcentral. Lineage: Eukaryota; Metazoa; Chordata; Mammalia; Carnivora; Mustelidae.